UGCAAGUCGAGCGAACGGACGAGAAGCUUGCUUCUCUGAUGUUAGCGGCGGACGGGUGAGUAACACGUGGAUAACCUACCUAUAAGACUGGGAUAACUUCGGGAAACCGGAGCUAAUACCGGAUAAUAUUUUGAACCGCAUGGUUCAAAAGUGAAAGACGGUCUUGCUGUCACUUAUAGAUGGAUCCGCGCUGCAUUAGCUAGUUGGUAAGGUAACGGCUUACCAAGGCAACGAUGCAUAGCCGACCUGAGAGGGUGAUCGGCCACACUGGAACUGAGACACGGUCCAGACUCCUACGGGAGGCAGCAGUAGGGAAUCUUCCGCAAUGGGCGAAAGCCUGACGGAGCAACGCCGCGUGAGUGAUGAAGGUCUUCGGAUCGUAAAACUCUGUUAUUAGGGAAGAACCAUAUGUGUAAGUAACUGUGCACAUCUUGACGGUACCUAAUCAGAAAGCCACGGCUAACUACGUGCCAGCAGCCGCGGUAAUACGUAGGUGGCAAGCGUUAUCCGGAAUUAUUGGGCGUAAAGCGCGCGUAGGCGGUUUUUUAAGUCUGAUGUGAAAGCCCACGGCUCAACCGUGGAGGGUCAUUGGAAACUGGAAAACUUGAGUGCAGAAGAGGAAAGUGGAAUUCCAUGUGUAGCGGUGAAAUGCGCAGAGAUAUGGAGGAACACCAGUGGCGAAGGCGACUUUCUGGUCUGUAACUGACGCUGAUGUGCGAAAGCGUGGGGAUCAAACAGGAUUAGAUACCCUGGUAGUCCACGCCGUAAACGAUGAGUGCUAAGUGUUAGGGGGUUUCCGCCCCUUAGUGCUGCAGCUAACGCAUUAAGCACUGGUUAAGUUGGGCACUCUAAGUUGACUGCCGGUUAUGAUUUGGGCUACACACGUGCUAC
This 891-nucleotide ribosomal RNA is filed under the name Staphylococcus aureus. RNAcentral describes it as "bacterial SSU rRNA". It matches the Rfam family "Bacterial small subunit ribosomal RNA", at positions 56 to 873 of the family's 1533-position model. Lineage: Bacteria; Bacillati; Bacillota; Bacilli; Caryophanales; Staphylococcaceae. The record is from RNAcentral.